This 381-nucleotide ribosomal RNA is filed under the name uncultured bacterium. RNAcentral's name for it is "bacterial SSU rRNA". It matches the Rfam family "Bacterial small subunit ribosomal RNA", at positions 508 to 888 of the family's 1533-position model. The record is from RNAcentral.
CCAGCAGCCGCGGUAAUACAGAGGGUGCAAGCGUUAAUCGGAUUUACUGGGCGUAAAGCGUGCGUAGGUGGCCAAUUAAGUCAGAUGUGAAAUCCCCGAGCUUAACUUGGGAACUGCAUUUGAAACUGGCAAGCUAGAGUCUUGUAGAGGGGGGUAGAAUUCCAGGUGUAGCGGUGAAAUGCGUAGAGAUCUGGAGGAAUACCGGUGGCGAAGGCGGCCCCCUGGACAAAGACUGACGCUCAGGUGCGAAAGCGUGGGGAGCAAACAGGAUUAGAUACCCUGGUAGUCCACGCUGUAAACGAUGUCGACUUGGAGGUUGUGCCCUUGAGGCGUGGCUUCCGGAGCUAACGCGUUAAGUCGACCGCCUGGGGAGUACGGCCG